UGGCGCCGGGCCGAUGGAGACGGCGGAGGACGGAGGAGCUGCCAGCGGCAGGGGACGCGAAACGGGUGUGCAGGAGGUCAGAAGCAGGUGGACUUGAGUGCAGUGGCCACCUACUAACCACCUGUGCCCUGCUGUCCUGGAGCACAGAGGACCAGGAGCCAAGGCCACUCGUCCUGCCUGCACCACAACCAGAGUGUAGCCAGGAGAGGCUGAGCUCAAUGAUUCUGCAGAACGGUGGAAGGGGUUCAGCCCAGCCUUGCCUGAGAUGUAUCGCGGGGGAAUCUGUAAGUGUCACCUCACUGAGGCACGAGUGAGAGAGUUCUUAAACAUCACAUCUGCAAAGCAGUCAAUAAGAUCUGUAAUUACAUACAUGAGAAAUGGCACAUGUAAAUAAAGCUAAAGGGCCAUUUUAACCAUACCAGCAAUCAUUAGAAGAUGCAAACGGGACAAAGGAAGAUUCCAGUUGAGUUUGAAUCCUCACAUGAUGGCCAGUGCACAUCCCGUACAUCUUGCUUGGAUGCCCACCUAUUCAAAUGAUAGUCAGGGCUCCCUGCAGAGGUUGUCUGCCUCUCAGGUAAUCCCACUGUCCUCUGCAGAAGGCCAGGAACAUUCUGAGUGGGGUGGCUCACCGCAGCCUCUUUUCUAAUGUCUUCUGCUGGACAAGAAAUUAUCUAGAAGUCAGAAAAUUCUGUAUCAAACUGCCUUGGGCCUCAUAGCUCAUGUAAUCAUUAGGCUCAGCCGAGAUCUCCCUGCCUGUGGACUUUGGGUUGUUUCUGGACAUUACUGGGCUGCUUAUAUACUCUUUUUAAUUAAAAGACUUAUUUUUGUAUUUUAAAUGCUCUAUAAUGUUGAAGUGAAUGUUACUAAAUGCUGAUGCCCAAUCAAACUAUGUAAUUCUCCAAUUGAAGUUAUCAGGGACAGAGCCCCAUUUAUAUUAAAAUGGAAAUUAUGG
Molecule: long non-coding RNA, 952 nt
Filed under: Rattus norvegicus (Norway rat)
Lineage: Eukaryota; Metazoa; Chordata; Mammalia; Rodentia; Muridae
Description: long non-coding RNA NONRATT003299
Source: RNAcentral